CAUUAAGAAGCUAUGGAUCAGCACUAGCCUUUUAAGCUAGAGAAAGAGGAAUAGACAACCUCCUUAAUGA
Molecule: transfer RNA, 70 nt
Filed under: Philentoma pyrhoptera (rufous-winged Philentoma)
Lineage: Eukaryota; Metazoa; Chordata; Aves; Passeriformes; Prionopidae
Description: tRNA-Lys
Source: RNAcentral